GUUGACCUCGGAUCAGGUAGGAAUACCCGCUGAACUUAAGCAUAUCAAUACGG
RNAcentral lists this ribosomal RNA (53 nucleotides) under Colletotrichum magnum. Its description in RNAcentral is "partial 28S ribosomal RNA". The record is from RNAcentral. Lineage: Eukaryota; Fungi; Ascomycota; Sordariomycetes; Glomerellales; Glomerellaceae.